UUCCGGUUGAUCCCGCCGGACCUGACUGCUAUCGGAUUGAUACUAAGCCAUGCGAGUCUUUGUAGUAAUACAAGGCAGACGGCUCAGUAACGCGUAGUCAACCUACCCUAUGGACGGGAAUAACCUCGGGAAACUGAGUAUAAUGCCCGAUAGAACAUUAUGCCUGGAAUGGGUUUAUGUUCCAAAUGAUUUAUCGCCGUAGGAUGGGACUGCGGCCUAUCAGUUUGUUGGUGAGGUAAUGGCCCACCAAGACUAUUACAGGUACGGGCUCUGAGAGGAGUAGCCCGGAGAUGGGUACUGAGACACGGACCCAGGCUCUAUGGGGCGCAGCAGGCGAGAAAACUUUGCAAUGUGCGAAAGCACGGCAAGGUUAAUCCGAGUGGUUUCUGCUAAAGAAACCUUUUGUUAGUCCUAAAAACACUAACGAAUAAGGGGUGGGCAAGUUCUGGUGUCAGCCGCCGCGGUAAAACCAGCACCUCAAGUGGUCAGGAUGAUUAUUGGGCCUAAAGCAUCCGUAGCCUGCUCUGUAAGUUUUCGGUUAAAUCUGUAUGCUCAACAUACAGGCUGCCGGGAAUACUGCAGAGCUAGGGAGUGGGAGAGGUAGACGGUACUCGGGAGGAAGUGGUAAAAU
RNAcentral lists this ribosomal RNA (631 nucleotides) under uncultured crenarchaeote. RNAcentral describes it as "bacterial SSU rRNA". It matches the Rfam family "Archaeal small subunit ribosomal RNA", at positions 1 to 638 of the family's 1478-position model. The record is from RNAcentral. Lineage: Archaea; Thermoproteati; Thermoproteota.